This 777-nucleotide ribosomal RNA is filed under the name uncultured Neocallimastigales. RNAcentral describes it as "partial large subunit ribosomal RNA". It matches the Rfam family "Eukaryotic large subunit ribosomal RNA", at positions 24 to 645 of the family's 3401-position model. Lineage: Eukaryota; Fungi; Neocallimastigomycota; Neocallimastigomycetes; Neocallimastigales. The record is from RNAcentral.
UACGACUACAUAUCAGGCAUAUCAAUAAGCGGAGGAAAAGAAACUAACUAGGAUUCCCUCAGUAACGGCGAGUGAAGCGGGAAGAGCUCAAAUUUGAAAUCUUCAAGGUUUUACCUUGACGAAUUGUAGUUUAAAGAAGUGUUUUCUGUUGGUAGUUUUAGUAAAAGUUCUUUGGAAUAGGACAUCAUAGAGGGUGAGAAUCCCGUAUUUGACCAUUACUUUCCAGCGUUGUGAUACACUUUCAAAGAGUCGGAUUGUUUGGGAAUGCAGUCCAAAAUGGGUGGUAAAUUUCAUCUAAAGCUAAAUAUUGGCGAGAGACCGAUAGCGAACAAGUACCGUGAGGGAAAGAUGAAAAGAACUUUGAAAAGAGAGUUAAACAGUAUGUGAAAUUGUCAAAAGGGAAGCGUUUGACACCAGUGUUGUUUUUCUCGAAAAUCAAUUAAAAAUGACCGGAUUUUGUGUUGUAUUGACUUUAUCAGCUUUCUGCACUUUUUUCUUGUCUUUUUUAAUGCACUUUUCGUUUAACAAGUCAACAUCAAUUUCUUUUGUUGUAAAAGAGUCAUUGGAAGGUGGCUUUCACUUCGGUGAAAGUGUUUAUAGCCUUUGACUUCUGCAAUCGGAGAGAUUGAGGUCUGCAGCGAAGAUCCUUCGGGGUUAGAUACAUUUGUGCUAAGUUAUAGUUUUUCAUAGACAACAUGUUGACUAUGAUUAAUCAUGUAGCUUACUCGCUUAUGCUAUUUUACCUACGCUUAGGAUGUUGAUCUCUCACAGUCGAGC